This is a long non-coding RNA of Papaver somniferum (opium poppy), 614 nucleotides long. RefSeq lists it as uncharacterized. The record is from RefSeq and is a predicted model, not a curated record. The transcript has 3 exons. Lineage: Eukaryota; Viridiplantae; Streptophyta; Magnoliopsida; Ranunculales; Papaveraceae.
UCUUUGCUCUUCGUCUCUUUCCUUUUCUGGUUGAUUUUGGGAGAUGAAGUAUUAUUCUGAGAUCGAGAUAACAAGAGUCUGAUCAUGAAUCAAGAGAUGGUGGAGGUGUCGUUGCUGUUUGAGUUAGGAGGAAGAAGAAUAGAGAAGCCAGUGAGUUAAGGUUUUCUGAAGCUGGGUUGUUUUUUGAGUUUGUGUAGAACGAGGAUGAUAUCGAGUUGUAACCACUGAAGAUUAAGAGGGUUGUUGGUGAAUUGAUGAGAUGAAGCAGUUUUGGUGAAGAAUCACAAAUCAGUUAGUCUUUAUUAAUAACGACUGAUUCAAAGGAUGAACUAGCGGAUUGACGAUUUCGAGGUGGGCGUGGCUUGUGAUCAAACCAGGCACCCUUUGGGACGAUGUGCUCACUUGUUCCCACUUCAGUUUCAGUAAUCAGAAGGAGUGAAGCGUGCGAAGAUAUCCGUUUUCGUAACUUAGUGCUCUACCGAAUAUAGUGUUGUCGUGUAUCUGUAUUAUAUGUAUUCUUUCUUUAUAUUGUAAAAUAAUACAUUUAUAUAUUUAUAUAACAUGAGAGACUUUCAACCAUACUGUAUUAGAGAGUUUGGGUUUGUUUGUUAGCA